RNAcentral lists this ribosomal RNA (422 nucleotides) under uncultured Glomeromycotina. RNAcentral's name for it is "SSU rRNA". It matches the Rfam family "Eukaryotic small subunit ribosomal RNA", at positions 672 to 1092 of the family's 1831-position model. Lineage: Eukaryota; Fungi; Glomeromycota. The record is from RNAcentral.
GGUAUGCACUGGCUUUGCUGGUUCCUCCUUUCUGAAGAACUGUAAUGCCAUUAAUUUGGUGUUGCAGGGAAACAGGACUGUUACUUUGAAAAAAUUAGAGUGUUUAAAGCAGGCUAACGCUUGAAUACAUUAGCAUGGAAUAAUGAAAUAGGACGUUCGAUCCUAUUUUGUUGGUUUCUAGGAUUGACGUAAUGAUUAAUAGGGAUAGUUGGGGGCAUUAGUAUUCAAUUGUCAGAGGUGAAAUUCUUGGAUUUAUUGAAGACUAACUACUGCGAAAGCAUUUGCCAAGGAUGUUUUCAUUAAUCAAGAACGAAAGUUAGGGGAUCGAAGACGAUCAGAUACCGUCGUAGUCUUAACCAUAAACUAUGCCGACUAGGGAUCGGAUGAUGUUAAUUUUUUAAUGACUCAUUCGGCGCCUUACG